GACGAACGCUGGCGGCGUGCCUAAUACAUGCAAGUAGAACGCUGAAGGAGGAGCUUGCUUCUCUGGAUGAGUUGCGAACGGGUGAGUAACGCGUAGGUAACCUGCCUGGUAGCGGGGGAUAACUAUUGAAAACGAUAGCUAAUACCGCAUAAUAGUAGAUGUUGCAUGACAUUUGCUUAAAAGGUGCAAUUGCAUCACUACCAGAUGGACCUGCGUUGUAUUAGCUAGUUGGUGGGGUAACGGCUCACCAAGGCGACGAUACAUAGCCGACCUGGUAGGGGGAUCGGCCACACUGGGAAUGAGACACGGCCCAGACUCCUACGGGAGGCAGCAGUAGGGAAUCUUCGGCAAUGGACGGAAGGCUGACCGAGCAACGCCGCGUGAGUGAAGAAGGUUUUCGGAUCGUAAAGCUCUGUUGUAAGAGAAGAACGAGUGUGAGAGUGGAAAGUUCACACUGUGACGGUAUCUUACCAGAAAGGGACGGCUAACUACGUG
Molecule: ribosomal RNA, 495 nt
Filed under: uncultured bacterium
Lineage: Bacteria
Description: partial 16S ribosomal RNA
Rfam family: Bacterial small subunit ribosomal RNA
Source: RNAcentral